UCUUCCCUGGGUAAGUCGGGACCUAAGGCGAGGCCGACAGGCGUAGUCGAUGGACAACGGGUUGAUAUUCCCGUACCGGCGAAGAACCGCCCAAACUAAUCCAGUGGUGCUAAGUGCCCGAAUUCCUUUGUAUCGAUCCCUUCGGGGUGAGAGCGUUGGAGCUAGCGCAUGACCCCAUGCUGGUGCGGUUAGCGUAUUAACAGGUGUGACGCAGGAAGGUAGCCCAACCCGGGCGAUGGUUGUCCCGGGGCAAGUGCGUAGGCCGAGUCAUAGGCAAAUCCGUGACUCUUACAGGCUGAGACACGAUGCGGAUAAAAAGUGGGUGAUCCUCUGCUGCCAAGAAAAGCAUCGACGCGAGGUUCUAGCCGCCCGUACCCCAAACCGACUCAGGUGGUCAGGUAGAGAAUACCAAGGAGAUCGAGAGAAUCGUGGUUAAGGAACUCGGCAAAAUGCCCCCGUAACUUCGGGAGAAGGGGGGCCAUCCACUUAUAUGAGCUUGCCUCAAAAAGGGUGUGGUGGCCGCAGAGACUAGUGGGUAGCGACUGUUUAUUAAAAACACAGGUCCGUGCCAAGUCGCAAGACGAUGUAUACGGACUGACGCCUGCCCGGUGCUGGAAGGUUAAGAGGACCGGUUAGCCGUAAGGCGAAGCUGAGAAUUUAAGCCCCAGUAAACGGCGGUGGUAACUAUAACCAUCCUAAGGUAGCGAAAUUCCUUGUCGGGUAAGUUCCGACCUGCACGAAUGGCGUAACGACUUCCCAACUGUCUCAACCGCGAACUCGGCGAAAUUGCACUACGAGUAAAGAUGCUCGUUACGCGCAGCAGGACGGAAAGACCCCGUGACCUUUACUACAGCUUGGUAUUGGUGUUCGGUGUGGCUUGUGUAGGAUAGGUGGGAGACUUUGAAGCGGUGACGCCAGUUACCGUGGAGUCAUUGUUGAAAUACCACUCUGGUCACUCUGGAUAUCUAACUUCGAACCGUAAUCCGGUUCAGGGACAGUGCCUGGUGGGUAGUUUAACUGGGGCGGUUGCCUCCCAAAAAGUAACGGAGGCGCCCAAAGGUUCCCUCAACCUGGUUGGCAAUCAGGUGGCGAGUGUAAGUGCACAAGGGAGCUUGACUGUGAGACUGACAGGUCGAGCAGGGACGAAAGUCGGGACUAGUGAUCCGGCAGUGGCUUGUGGAAGCGCUGUCGCUCAACGGAUAAAAGGUACCUCGGGGAUAACAGGCUGAUCUUGCCCAAGAGUCCAUAUCGACGGCAUGGUUUGGCACCUCGAUGUCGGCUCGUCGCAUCCUGGGGCUGGAGUAGGUCCCAAGGGUUGGGCUGUUCGCCCAUUAAAGCGGUACGCGAGCUGGGUUUAGAACGUCGUGAGACAGUUCGGUCCCUAUCCGCUGCGCGCGUAGGAAAUUUGAGAGGAUCUGACCCUAGUACGAGAGGACCGGGUUGGACGAACCUCUGGUGUGCCAGUUGUUCUGCCAAGAGCACCGCUGGUUAGCUACGUUCGGGAUGGAUAACCGCUGAAAGCAUCUAAGCGGGAAGCCGGCCUCAAGAUGAGAUUUCCAUGCCUUCGGGCGAGAGGCUCCCAGCCAGACUACUGGGUUGAUAGGCCGGAUGUGGAAGCGUGGCAACACGUGAAGCUGACCGGUACUAAUAAGCCGAUGACUUGAUAACACACC
This 1673-nucleotide ribosomal RNA is filed under the name Microbacterium hominis. RNAcentral describes it as "bacterial LSU rRNA". It matches the Rfam family "Bacterial large subunit ribosomal RNA", at positions 1369 to 2925 of the family's 2925-position model. The record is from RNAcentral. Lineage: Bacteria; Bacillati; Actinomycetota; Actinomycetes; Micrococcales; Microbacteriaceae.